UGAAAGACUUCUAUAUUUGCCUGGUUUGC
This 29-nucleotide small RNA is filed under the name Bombyx mori (domestic silkworm). RNAcentral describes it as "ovarian small RNA-30470". The record is from RNAcentral. Lineage: Eukaryota; Metazoa; Arthropoda; Insecta; Lepidoptera; Bombycidae.